GGUCUCGUAGUUCAGUUGGUUAGAGCGUUGGUCUUAUAAGCCGAAGGUCGCGGGUUCAAGCCCUGCUGGGACCA
RNAcentral lists this transfer RNA (74 nucleotides) under Ipomoea nil (Japanese morning glory). It matches the Rfam family "tRNA". Rfam says of the family: Transfer RNA (tRNA) molecules are approximately 80 nucleotides in length. Lineage: Eukaryota; Viridiplantae; Streptophyta; Magnoliopsida; Solanales; Convolvulaceae. The record is from Rfam by way of RNAcentral.